AUCUGAGAGGCACAGGCGCUGAAUCAUGGGGGUGAGGGUGAGGGGGCCUCAGUACCCAUGUCUGUCCCUGCUCAUCUGAAAAAUAUCCCUAGUUAUUGCAGGUGGGUGCUUAAUCAGUGCAGUUUUUGGGAUGCCAAAAGACUUUUUAUUUUUAUUUUUUAUUUUUUAAUUUUUUUAAAUCAACAGGACCUGGACGCUUUCCCCAUGAUGAGGAUGGGACCCAUCUAAUUUCAACACACACACACACACACACACAUACUCCUCACCACUCCUGCAGCACAACACGUCGAUAAAAGCUAGAGAAUCUGAGUUUCUUUUUUUUUGUCAAUAUAAGAACCUUGACAGAGUUGAAGAAAUAUAAAAAGAAGACACGUUCAUCACGAGCGACGUGACUCAUCAUCAAACGGCGGUAUUAAAUGAAUAUCAUAAACAGAGCCCUCCCUCCCUCCCUCCCUCGCUCGCAUCUCAUUAAGCGAGUCCCGCUGUAGCUAUAGGUGAAGCCGCCUCUCUCUGCCAUACUGAAGCAGGUGUCCAACAUGGCGAACACUGGCAGCGGCUCUCUCGCGACUAUUCUCUUUUUAUUCAUGUUUCAAGCGGCUCUUCACAAAGGGAGGGUUUUAUGGAUUGUUCCACUACACUAUGAAGCCAAGGUUACAGUGCGGCCCAUCAUGUCGACUUUCGUCAGCAUACUCUUCAACUGCUCCAGUUCAUGCCCAGACUGACCCCACUGCUACAUCCAGACACUCAGACUGUCUCAGUGCCCGCUGCAGUGCUUCACUCUACUAUUAACAUUCUGAUUGCCGUCUUGUUUCAUUUGCUUGGCCAAGCACUUUAUUUCCAAAAGGAGGCCGGCCUCGGUGCUGACCUUUCCAUUUGCUGAGAACGGAGCAAUCAUUCACAAAACACACUACUAAAUGUAAAAUAUCCAAACUGUUUGAUAUUGCAGGUCUAAUGAAAUGACUCACUUCUUUGCUGCAAUUAUAGGAAAAGGUCAGUGCCAUAACUGAUGUUGAGCUUCAACAUGAUUGUCCUACUUCACAUUAUCCAGUGUUUGGCUCAUAGAAUAUCAGUAUAGGCCAUAUUGUAUGACAUUGUGUCAGUGCGGUAUUUCACACUAUCAGAAAUAACUUAUUUGUGGAGAAUGCUCAGUUUGGAGUCUUCUUUGAAAUAAGUAUGUUAUGGUACAUUUGGUUAUAAUUCAGACAUUUAUGAGAUUGAGG
RNAcentral lists this long non-coding RNA (1220 nucleotides) under Sparus aurata (gilthead seabream). RNAcentral's name for it is "lncRNA (ENSSAUG00010012969.1)". The record is from RNAcentral. Lineage: Eukaryota; Metazoa; Chordata; Actinopteri; Spariformes; Sparidae.